This 74-nucleotide transfer RNA is filed under the name bacterium. RNAcentral describes it as "tRNA-Cys". It matches the Rfam family "tRNA". Rfam says of the family: Transfer RNA (tRNA) molecules are approximately 80 nucleotides in length. Their secondary structure includes four short double-helical elements and three loops (D, anti-codon, and T loops). Further hydrogen bonds mediate the characteristic L-shaped molecular structure. tRNAs have two regions of fundamental functional importance: the anti-codon, which is responsible for specific mRNA codon recognition, and the 3' end, to which the tRNAs corresponding amino acid is attached (by aminoacyl-tRNA synthetases). tRNAs cope with the degeneracy of the genetic code in two manners: having more than one tRNA (with a specific anti-codon) for a particular amino acid; and 'wobble' base-pairing, i.e. permitting non-standard base-pairing at the 3rd anti-codon position. The record is from RNAcentral.
GGCGCCUUGGCGGAGGGGUUACGCAGCGGUCUGCAAAACCGCGUACACGAGUUCGAUUCUCGUAGGUGCCUCCA